AUUAUAAUUUAAACUUAAAGACAAUGUGCUAUUAUAAGGAUUAAAUAAUUUAUCUAAUUGUUUUGUCAUGCAAUAACAAUGGAAGAUAAUUGAAAAAUAGCUAUAUUUGAAACAUUAAUUUUCUUUUUUUCAUUUGUAAAUCCGAACAUAUUGAUUUGCAUUUCUAUAGACACCCUUUAUUUUAUUUCUCUCUGUAUUUUAUUUCUCACGGUUAAUAUUCACAUAAUUAAUCAUUCAAAUUUUGCACAUGGCAAUUCUUCUUUAAAAGAAAAAUACAGCAAAUAUUUCGAUACUUUUAUUAAAACCGAAUUAAUUACGGUUAACAUAACCUAUAUAAUUUUCAAGUUCGUUAUUUAUAUUUUAUAGUACGUUUAAUCAAUGUUCCACAAUCAAUUAUUUCAUUAAUGUAAAAAUUUUGAUCAAAACGAAUCGUUUGUUGAAAAUUUUAACAAGAACAAGAUGUAAAAUUAAAAUCGAAUGAUUAAAGCAUAACAAGAAUCCAAUGAGAACCCCAUUAAAGUUUAGAUUAUCAAGGGUCAUUAGCUCGAUAACGAGGUAUCGGCUCAUUGGGAAUGUUUAUAGGAAUUCUGUCGUUCUUUAUCAUACACAUCGAUUAUGUACACUGCGUAACAUAAAUAUUGUUCGUAACGGAAAUUUAUAUCAGCCCCGAUAAGCAUAGUUAAUUUCACAUGUAUAGAAUUUACGUAGAAACUAAAUUUUCGGCAUCGAUUCAUCGCUCGUGCAUCCAGGUUAAUUAAGAGUUACUUGGGAUUUCGAUAAACGUCGACCGAGACUGAUUCAAGCGAUAAUUACCGUAGUUAGAAAACUUAUAAAUUACCAGUUCCUGAAACAACUUUCUCACGAAGAUUCCAGUUUCGACAAUGAGUGAAGAAAACGACCUCGUCUUCAAUCUAUUCUUCUCAUGAACGAACACUUAUCAGGCCGCUUAUCUACAUGCAUAGUCCGUAAUCUUUUCCUUAUACAACUUCCCUCUGUGUACACAUACUUGAGCUCCACCUCUCGCAUUGUCUAGCUGCUCAGUGUAACGUACAUAUGCCAGAAGAUGCGAUAUUCUCCAUUUCUCGCACGAAAGUAGUGCCACCAGUGGCGCUACAGCAAAAUAUACAUCUGUCCUUGUGUUAAAUGGUCUUCCCUCCACAUGCGUAUAAACGCAUACUCUGGUGAAUGCACGAAUUCGGAGGUUUCUGGACAAAGGGUGAGCAGAGAAGGGAGGUGUUACGCUUCGUCUGGUCCUCCGUGAGAUUGCACACCGUGACCAACAAACUACCACGGUUUACGGGAUAUAACUCGGGAGGAACGAGCUCGACAAGAGGGAAACGGAAAAUGCGGGAAAAUGGAGAUGGUCAGGAAAGAAUAGUGUAUGUGAGAACAGGGAAACGUACUGGUUCAAGAGGUACGUACAUAGUAUGUGUCACAAGUAUCGUGCUGGUAUCUUUUGAAUUUUCAAAAUAAACAAUGUUUUCAACAGAGAGAAGAGACACUCGUUCAACACUCUUAAUAACCAAAUUGAAAACCACAAGAUUUCUUUAGUAAAUUUUUCACUAAAAAUUUGGUUAGAAUUUAUAACCUCAAAAAUUUGUUUGACAAAAAACAUAUGGAUUUACUCGUACAAAUUCACAUUUUUAACGAGAAUAUAGAGAACUAAUGUACGUUUAGGAAACCACGAUUAUUAAACAUUCCAAUUAAAACGAAUCAAUAAGGUUAAUUGGUUCGCAUAAUUCUAACUGAAUAUGGCGCGCUACGAAAUGCGUGCGGUAAGUUAUCGUGGAAUGCAAUUUAUAUUUAGGUAGGUAACUUUACUGGAACUGGUGUAAUUCAUCUCCGUUGUAACUGUGAUAUCAGUGGUUGGCUUUUCGUUUGUCAUAUAAUAGUGGAAAGUGGAAAUCCAAGGAUUUAUGCUACAGAUGGACAUGUUGAUUGCAUCUUGUGGAAAUCUCACUUUCACUCUCAUCGAGAAGCAACGUGUUCUAACUGGCUCUUCGAGUCUGGCCUGGAAUUGUUGAUCACCUUCGUCGGUCACUGGAAGUAAUAAGUAAAUACGUGCGGUAUUUCGUACACAAAGCGAAGGUAUUCCGCCUCCAGUACAAGUUUAAGGACUUUACGUGGCAAACUCCUCGCAUCCAGAGAUGUUUAACCACGAUAAUCAUUAAACCGAGCGUGAAAUUGCAUAAUUUUCUGUGUACAUUACGAAAAUUACGAUUGGAAACGUGAUUGAAAAUGAUUGGCGAAUAACUAAAAGUUUUGAUAAAAAGAUCAGAUUUUAAUAAUUUAAAAAAAAAAAAGUUUUUGUGAUGGAUUGAUGCGAGAAAUUAAGCUUAUUGAUCCAUUUAUCUGAUCACAAUUUAUUAUUCAACUUGUUUGACCAAACGAUUAGCAAUAUAAUCUACGAUUAGCCGAACUAAUGGCUGACCUAUACCUCUUGUCUGGCCCAGCAAAUGCUAUUUAUCUGACCAAAUGAUCGAUAUAUUAUCGGCCUGACCAAAGGUUGACCUAUACUACUUGAUUGACCAAAUGAUUGAAGAUGCAAUAUUGGUUAAUAUCCAACUCUGAUUUAAAAAUAUAAAACUAGCGAGAAAUGGUUGACUUGUUCUACUUAUUCGGUUAUGCAAUUAAGGAUAUGAAAUUGGUUUAGCAAAUAGUUGACCUGUACUACUUGCUUGAAAGUGGCACAGAAUAUGAAAUUCAAUACAAAAUUAUACGAAAGAGAAUAUAUUGUAUGAUAUAUUAGCCGUUAUUGGGUAUGGAUUUAAAUCAAAUUUAGAGCAGAUAUUGACAUUUCAAAAGGAUAAUGAUUAUAAAAGUUGUGUCAUAAAAAAUGAAAAGAGGAAAAAUGGCGAUUCGUCACUUCAGCGAUUGAAAUCCGAUUGUACCGGCUAUCAUCGAAUAAAAAUUUGAUGAAAAAAAGUUAUUUCGUUAUUGAAAAUAUCGAUGAAUUAUGCUAGAAUAUAAAAUAAAAGUUAAUAUCUAUUUUAUAAGUCUAAAAGAAUUGACGAAAUGUGUGCUGAAAUGUUGUUAAUUAAUAUUGAAGUGUAACAUAUGUUCAAUAUUAUUGUGCAAAGUAAUUGUUAUAAAAAUUAUGAAAAUUCUCAAAUAUUACAAUAUUUGAUUAUUAUCUUGAAAGAAAAAGUAAUAGAAUAUAAUAAUAAAGAAUAAUAAAAAUAGAUACAUGUUACAUGUAAUGAUUCUUAUACUUGAAAGGAAUUGUUUCAGUCUACAAAAGGACCAAUAUUUGCCAGGCUUUGAGUUCGAUCGAAGAACGAUAAAACAUGUAUCAAAGCCCUUUUACAUGUAAAAUGUAAUGUAUCCAGUCUCCAUUAUUGCCUCAAAGCAAGUUGUACCAACAUUUUCUAUUUAUAUAUAUCUAUCUUCUGUUUUCUUUCUUAAACAUGGUGAAAAACAUUCAAAAAUUUCCAUUUGUAAACGUUAACUCUGACUGAUGUAGUUCUUACAAUCAUUUUAACUUUCAAUUACUUAAUAAGAUUGUGUGCCAUUCUAUUUUUGGGAUACGUUUUUAAGAGAGAAAACUUAUUUUAAAAAUAUAAUAAUUAAUCGGAAUAAUUACU
This is a long non-coding RNA of Apis mellifera (honey bee), 3584 nucleotides long. RefSeq lists it as uncharacterized. The transcript has 8 exons. The record is from RefSeq and is a predicted model, not a curated record. NCBI's taxonomy places the organism in Eukaryota, Metazoa, Arthropoda, Insecta, Hymenoptera, Apidae.